UCAUUUGGUAUAUUCAAUUCCUUAAUGCAUAUUUACAGUGUAAUAUAUAGAACUUAGUAGUCUAAUAAUAGAAAAUUUAAAAUUAUUCACUAUCAUGUCAAAUUUACAGUAAAUACAAUCAACCUAUAUACAUGGUCCUAACCAAUCACUUGUAUUUGUACAAGCUCAAGCACACUUUUGACACGAAAAAUAAAAAAAAAGCAUAAAAAUAUAACAAAAUUUCCUAUGUUACCCCUACACUUUAGAUAACACAUUGAGAGUCUCAUUAUAUAUUGUCCUUCUCAUCCCCUUCUUCUUUCA
This 300-nucleotide long non-coding RNA is filed under the name Gossypium raimondii (Peruvian cotton). Its description in RNAcentral is "long non-coding RNA (GRAI_LNC002770)". Lineage: Eukaryota; Viridiplantae; Streptophyta; Magnoliopsida; Malvales; Malvaceae. The record is from RNAcentral.